RNAcentral lists this transfer RNA (71 nucleotides) under Loxodonta africana (African savanna elephant). It matches the Rfam family "tRNA". Rfam says of the family: Transfer RNA (tRNA) molecules are approximately 80 nucleotides in length. Their secondary structure includes four short double-helical elements and three loops (D, anti-codon, and T loops). Lineage: Eukaryota; Metazoa; Chordata; Mammalia; Proboscidea; Elephantidae. The record is from Rfam by way of RNAcentral.
GCCCUGGUGACAUAGUGGUUAAGUGCUUGCCUGUUAACUGCAAGAUAGGUGGUUCAAAUCCACCAGCGGCU